GAUGAAGAACGCAGCGAAAUGCGAUAAGUAAUGUGAAUUGCAGAAUUCAGUGAAUCAUCGAAUCUUUGAACGCACAUUGCGCCCGCCAGUAUUCUGGCGGGCAUGCCUGUUCGAGCGUCAUUACAACCCUCAGGCCCCCGGGCCUGGCGUUGGGGAUCGGCGGAGCCCCCCGUGGGCACACGCCGUCCCCCAAAUGCAGUGGCGGUCCCGCCGCAGCUUCCAUCGCGUAGUAGCUAACACCUCGCGACUGGAGAGCGGCGCGGCCACGCCGUAAAACACCCAACUCUUCUGAAGUUGACCUCGAAUCACGUAGGAAUACCCGCUGAACUUAAGCAUAUCAAUAAGCGGAGGA
This 352-nucleotide unclassified non-coding RNA is filed under the name soil metagenome. RNAcentral's name for it is "partial contains 5.8S ribosomal RNA, internal transcribed spacer 2, and large subunit ribosomal RNA". The stretch from base 1 to 120 matches the Rfam family "5.8S ribosomal RNA", at positions 35 to 154 of the family's 154-position model. The record is from RNAcentral.